GCCCGAGUGGCGGAAUGGCAGACGCAGGGGACUCAAAAUCCCCCGGGGGCAACCCCGUGAGAGUUCGACUCUCUCCUCGGGCACCU
Molecule: transfer RNA, 86 nt
Filed under: Gemmatimonadetes bacterium 13_1_20CM_69_28
Lineage: Bacteria; Pseudomonadati; Gemmatimonadota
Also listed under: 3 other names
Description: tRNA-Leu
Rfam family: tRNA
About the family: Transfer RNA (tRNA) molecules are approximately 80 nucleotides in length. Their secondary structure includes four short double-helical elements and three loops (D, anti-codon, and T loops). Further hydrogen bonds mediate the characteristic L-shaped molecular structure. tRNAs have two regions of fundamental functional importance: the anti-codon, which is responsible for specific mRNA codon recognition, and the 3' end, to which the tRNAs corresponding amino acid is attached (by aminoacyl-tRNA synthetases). tRNAs cope with the degeneracy of the genetic code in two manners: having more than one tRNA (with a specific anti-codon) for a particular amino acid; and 'wobble' base-pairing, i.e. permitting non-standard base-pairing at the 3rd anti-codon position.
Source: RNAcentral